Long non-coding RNA from Poecilia latipinna (sailfin molly), 207 nucleotides. RefSeq lists it as uncharacterized. The transcript is spliced from 3 exons. Lineage: Eukaryota; Metazoa; Chordata; Actinopteri; Cyprinodontiformes; Poeciliidae. The record is from RefSeq and is a predicted model, not a curated record.
UUGAGAUAUUUGUUAACUUGACAAAAAAAAAAGCUCAAGUCUAUCAAAGCAAUGUAGCCAGGUUUGCCAGUUUUGAUUUACAAGCCUAACAAGGCAGGUUAUUAUGAGUCAGAUGAAUAAUGAAAUAACGAACUGCAGUCUGAUUCUUAUUGUAAAUGUGUUUCUUCCUAUUGAGCAGUGAAAGUAAAUAAAAGCAUGCUACAUGUC